CCCUGAAUUAUUAAUUUUGGAAAAUUUUCUGUGUGAUAGUCACAUUGAUUCAUACGAGGAGAAUAUUUUGUCCUCAGUGUUCAAAUGUCAAAGUUGGGAACAGAAUGUUUCUUCCCAUCCACUUGUAUAACCAAACUCACAUUUAAAGAGAAUCAUUCAUUAUUCAGUUUCUAUAUUAUAUCUGGUACUUUCACUUUUCCCAAGAAAAAAAGAGCAAGUUCUCCUGUAAAAAGGCCCUGUUUGCCUUAUUUUUUCAGAGUACCAUAUUUUGUGGUCUGUACAGCACCUGGUACAUGGGGUCCUGGUUCGCAACCAGGCUACUGCAAUUAAAAUAAUAAUAAUUAAAAUAUAUUAUGCCUCUUCUCACUCCUUAAGUAAGAGACUUAGGUCACAGCUUAUGGGAUGUCCCGGAAUGUGUAUUGUCCAGAUAUGCUUUCCCAGUGUAUGAGGUUGUUCCAAGCUUUUUAGGAGCUAGAGCAGAAGAUAGGAGGAAGAUCAUCCUCACUGGCCAGAUAGAAUUCAGUCUCCUGAUAUUAUGGGCCAACCGCCAGAAAAGUGAAGAGUGGAACUAGCUGACAGUCGCUUCAUGCCUGAAGAGAAGAAAGUUUCAGCAUGAAAGCAAAGGAAGCAAAGCAUUAAAGGAGCUGGAAAAUAAGGGUUUGCAUAUCCUUGGGAUCUAGCUGGGACAAUGAAAAAGGGAAGAGAAAGUAACAGGUCUGUGGACUGUAGCCACUUUCCCCAACCCUGCAGAAGCCCCAUCCACAAGGAUCCGUUACUUGGGAGGAGACCAGUCAACAUGCCAACUUGCGCAGAAUUCUAAGUGCAGUCCUUCCAGUGCUGUAAAGAAAGGGAUGAUCUACUCUUUAGGCCACAGUAUGUACAGAAGGCAGCGUGUGCCAGCGGAAAGACAUUGAACUGGGAGUCAGAAGACCUUGACUUCAAAAUCUAGACCGAAACUUAGAUUUUAAAUUUUGUUGCUUAGGCCUCUCUCUAAUUAGUAUAUGAGGAUUUUCCAGGCUCCUAGCCAAAUGAAUAUUUUAUAAAGGUCAUAUAUAUCCAUCCAAUGGGUCCAUGCAGUAACAAUCAUUUGGAGGUAUUAUGUGAUGCAGCCCAAUAUUCCAAUAACAUACUGAGGAUAACAAAAGAUGUAGCAUUAGAAAACUAAAUAUAAGAGUAUAAAGUUCAAAGUUUGUUCUCUAGGUUAUAUCAUGGUAUAACUCCUAAAUGUUACACAAAUAUACAUUAUUUCCUCCCACACCCUGAAAGUAUGUUUACAAAAAUCAGAAUUUGUUUCCUGUGUGUAUUGUUUUCCUAAUUAAAUUUGAAGGAGUAAAGAUUUCUUCCAUAUGGACUAUGUUUCUCCUUAAAUAGAGCAUCUGUUUUGGGUUGGGUACUUUAUGGCAGAGGUUCUCAACCUUUCCAGACUACUAUACCCCUUUCAGGGGUCUGAUUUGUCUUGUGUA
Chelonoidis abingdonii (Abingdon island giant tortoise) is the source of this 1463-nucleotide long non-coding RNA. RefSeq lists it as uncharacterized. NCBI's taxonomy places the organism in Eukaryota, Metazoa, Chordata, Testudines, Testudinidae. The record is from RefSeq and is a predicted model, not a curated record.